This is a non-coding RNA of Pteropus alecto (black flying fox), 115 nucleotides long. The record is from Rfam. Lineage: Eukaryota; Metazoa; Chordata; Mammalia; Chiroptera; Pteropodidae.
GUCUAUGGCCAUGCCACCCUGAAAAAGCCCGAUGUCUGAUCUCGGAAGCUAAGCAGGGUCGGGCCUGGUUAGUACUUAGAUGGGAGACCACCUAGGAAGACAAGUGCUGUAGGCA